AGUGAACGCUGGCGGUAGGCCUAACACAUGCAAGUCGAACGGCAGCACAGUAAGAGCUUGCUCUUACGGGUGGCGAGUGGCGGACGGGUGAGGAAUACAUCGGAAUCUACUUUUUCGUGGGGGAUCACGUAGGGAAACUUACGCUAAUACCGCAUGCGACCUACGGGUGAAAGCAGGGGAUCUUCGGACCUUGCGCGAUUGAAUGAGCCGAUGUCGGUUUAGCUAGUUGGCGGGGUAAAGGCCCACCAAGGCGACGAUCCGUAGCUGGUCUGAGAGGAUGAUCAGCCACACUGGAACUGAGACACGGUCCAGACUCCUACGGGAGGCAGCAGUGGGGAAUAUUGGACAAUGGGCGCAAGCCUGAUCCAGCCAUACCGCGUGGGUGAAGAAGGCCUUCGGGUUGUAAAGCCCUUUUGUUGGGAAAGAAAAGCAGCAGGUUAAUACCCCGCUGUUCUGACGGUACCCAAAGAAUAAGCACCGGCUAACUUCGUG
This 492-nucleotide ribosomal RNA is filed under the name uncultured bacterium. RNAcentral's name for it is "partial 16S ribosomal RNA". It matches the Rfam family "Bacterial small subunit ribosomal RNA", at positions 29 to 507 of the family's 1533-position model. The record is from RNAcentral.